UGUAUCAACAAUUAGUCGCUAUGGCGGACACGGAAGAGAAUCUCGAUGUCAAACCAAACACCCAAUUGAGGGAUAUACAUGUUACCGUUCAGUUGUGCUUUGAAUGACAACUGAGCAAUGUCUGGUACAAUGGAAUCCGCAAGACAAUUUUGCAGGAGGCACCAGAGUCCAGGGUUGAAGGCUAUUCGGGAUGACAGAGUUUGUUUGAGGUGUCCAUCAACAACAAGCUCAUUUUCUCAAAGGCAAAGCUAGGAAGUUACCCGAGGAGAGCAGACAUCAAAAAGGCUAUAAAACAAGUGAAGAAUGGAGAGGAGCCAGACGAAAUAACGAGGACUGCAAGUAGUCAAUGCUGUACCGUGUUGUAGAUGGAGGAGCAUACAGUUGGUUAAUGUUUUGGUCAUCACAAUCUGAACUAAUCUGCUCAGAACGGACAUUCUCUGUCGUUAAGAGGAGCCUACAUAUCGAUCUAAUGGACUUUUGGUCGCUGGGAGGGACUUUCCUUUUCAAUCCAUUGACAUUCUCCAUACUCCAGGGGUUAGGUUCACUUUCGCUCUCUCGAGUAAUUUUAAAUUCCAUUUGACAACCAAUAGUCAAAAAAACAAAGUGACUGAAAUAAUGACAUCGAACAAAUAACUAUUUCCCAACAUGAAAUAUCAAAGAUUAUUCAAAAAUAAAAUACCGAUUGGUUAAGUAUUUUACAGUAAUCAUCUUUACUGGCAUUCAAAUUAAGAAAAAAAUAUCAUGAAACGUGACUAACCUAUAUCGUUGCGUGUUUUAAACAUUAAGGUACUGUUUUAAGUUUAAUGUGGAAUUAGAUGGGAUUUUGAAGACAGAAUCUGAAAUAACGUAUCUCGCUGUGAUUGAAUCUAUGCAAAAAUACUCGCAGCUGAAUUUUAUAUAUUCAUAUGAUUUAUAUAUAUGUUCCUGCUAGUUAUGACCAUGGUAGAAUCCUUUAUGACUUUACCACGACAGACAUUAUUUAUGAAUAUGAGGGAAUAUUUACGUCCAGAAUAAUGACGACUAACAUUAAAACAGGAAGGAAGUGUUGGUUUGAUGUAAAGUCUCUGGGUGAAAUCUCCAGUCAUGUUCAGUAUAUAAAUUCCAUUAAUCGUCUUCAACAUAUAUCGCAUGUAUGUGAUAAAAAUUAUAUUCAUAACAGUUAUGGAACUAGACUUAUAUUAAAAAAUUGGCCAGAAAUACCUAUACUAAAAAUCUUUAUAUAUAGGUAUUUCUGGCUAUGUUUCUUUAAUAUAAGACUAACCAUGCCCCUGUGCAUAAACAUACUGCAGCCUCCGGAUGGGGUGUCCUGCUUCUUGAAUUCGACAGUAUAUUUCAGUGAGGAAGCACUAUAAAGUCGGUAUCAAACAGAAAAUUACCGCAGCCUCCCCAAACACGCAUGCAUAUCGCAUACAAGGGAUGCCGUCUUUAGAUGGCCAUAGUUGUUGAUAGUCUAUGUUAAAAUGAACCAGGUAGCUACGCCAUUGAUAAGGAAAUCACUACGCAAUCAACAGAAAACACGUUCGUCUAUCUCGUUAUUUAUCUAUUGGCAAAUGAAUUUCGAUUUAUUUGAAAAACUGAUAGCUCUAUAUAUUUUAAAUAAAACUCCUGUCGUUUAGUGAUUCUGGUAUAUCAGUUUUGAAUUUUACGAGUUUACGUUUUGCUAAUGAUUACACUUUUUCAUGGGCUUUUAUUUCCUUGUAGAGACAACCAAAAUAAUAUUUAGUCUAUAAAAUCGGUAUCUGGCCCCGGUUUCAUUAACAUUCUUCGAAGAAAUUCCUCAGCUUGAAUUCUUCUAAAGGAAAGCAUUGCAGAAUCUAUGGAAUACAUCAAAUUUAAGAACUUUACUUAAAUUCAGUAAUGUUUUCCAAUGAAAAAUUGUAUGUUUUCUGUAGUAAUUGUGCAUUUCUGGAGUUGAAGUAAUAGUAUUAAAACUAUGGGGUUUUUUUUCAACAACAAAAACAAAAGUUCAGAAAUACUGAUGAAAUUGGUCCCAGGUUCUCUGCUUGACUGUUAGAAGGAAUGUUUGUUUCUCUUUCAUUAACCCAAUGAUUCGUUGAUAACGUCCGUAAACAUCAUUUUGUCAAUAUUGUAUGUAAGGCAAUAUCAAACCCUAAGGUGACAUGAUGGGCAAAACGAUGAUAGCGGACCAACUCUUAUUUUCAUAUAUCACUCUUGAUGUACAUAGUCAACUUUUGUUUUAAAACAGAAAGUCAAUUGAGUGACUAACAUUCCCGGGGAACUAUUAUUUUGAGUUUAUCUAUCUGGGAAAUCAUCGGAAAGGCAACAGGUCAAUCAACCAGUCAGUCACUGGAAAAUAUAUUACUAACAUAGGUUUAUUUCUUUGACGAUAUACAAUUUGUAUUACGGGUUUUCCAGCAUUCUUUUAUAACAUUUUAAAUGGAAUGUUUCAUUUAUUGACAUAAUAUCAAUAUUUACACUUUUCUAAAUAAAAAGUUUUGUUUUCACUUA
Molecule: long non-coding RNA, 2469 nt
Organism: Pecten maximus
Lineage: Eukaryota; Metazoa; Mollusca; Bivalvia; Pectinida; Pectinidae
Exons: 4
Source: RefSeq, a predicted model, not a curated record